This 223-nucleotide long non-coding RNA is filed under the name Felis catus (domestic cat). RNAcentral's name for it is "lncRNA (ENSFCAG00000050761.1)". Lineage: Eukaryota; Metazoa; Chordata; Mammalia; Carnivora; Felidae. The record is from RNAcentral.
GGACCGGGCCAGGAACGCUCCUGGGGGGCGCCAUCAGCUGUCCGGGCCUCCGAGGCUGGGCCCCGGUGUGGGAGAGCUCCGUGAAGUUUUGAACACCCAGAUCUCUACAUGGUGUCCGGCCCAUGGUCAGCGUUCAGUAACUCGUCACAGAAGGUGGAACGGAGGGACCCUUGGUAGACACAACAGAAGAUAUGGACAGGCAGCAGGAAACAUAGAACAAUUU